This 1148-nucleotide long non-coding RNA is filed under the name Callithrix jacchus (white-tufted-ear marmoset). Its description in RNAcentral is "lncRNA (ENSCJAG00000075534.1)". The record is from RNAcentral. Lineage: Eukaryota; Metazoa; Chordata; Mammalia; Primates; Cebidae.
ACAAGAUCUUUCUCUGUUGCCCAUGCUGGAAUGCAGUGGCAUGAUCAUGGCUCACUGCAGCCUUGACCUCCUCAGCUCAAAAGAUCCUCCUGCCUCAGUCUCCCAAAUAGCUGGAACCACAGGUACGUGCCACCAUUCCAGCUUAUUUUAAAAAAUCAUUUUUAGAGAUGGGGUCUUGCUAUGUUGUUCAGGCUGGUCUUGAACCCCUGGGCUCAAGCAUCCCUCCCACUGAAGCCUUCUGAGUCACUGUGAUUACAGGCUUGAGCCAUCACAUCCAGCCAACCCUGGGACACAUAAAUUGCAUUUUUCCCUAAAUAACAAACUCCAAAUAAACUGGAGACUUAUUUUUUCAACCAUCUUUUCAUAUCUCUAUAGAAGAUUGCCUGAGCUCCCUAACUCUCAAUAAUAGAAUGUACUGCAUUUGAUAGUCUCCAAAUCCUUAACAUUUCCUAAGCCAAAGGCAUGAAUGUGUUCAAAGCUUUGUCCUUUCCUUUCUGGGAUAUGUGUGCAAGAGGCUAUGUGUGGAUUUUACAUGAUCAUUCUCAGCUGUUUCUAUUUAUGUCUCCUCCUACAGAUUAUGAGGUUCUCAGGGGCGGGAAUGGAUUUUUCUAAAUCAGGAACUUAAAUGAAGCAUGUGCCCAAUAAAUAUGUAUUGAAUUUAAUUGAAUUUUCGUUUUUAAAAGGUGUCAUCAUUUACAAUCAGCAUUUCUAAAGAAAGCACAUUGAACAUGAGGCUGAGGAGAUUGUGCCGCAUGGUGCACUGGCUCAGCUUACCUGGGCUAUGGUGCUUCCUGCACAUGCCCUCACCUUCUUCAUCCCAGGCGCUGGCUCAGUUUCCUCCACUCACAGAGCCCUCAGCCGUGCUGGUCCCUGGAGGAGAGCAGAAUACACAAGACCCAGAAGCUGGAGGCUGGACUGUAGGGUCCUGUGGCAAGUGGUAAGAGUUGAGGCCACAAAGAGAGACAGGAGCCACAGCUUAUGACUCGAGUUGUCACAUGAAUUAUAAAAGGGUUUCUAAUUCAUGGUGAUCUUAGACAUAUUUUGGAAUUUGAGAUUUGUGAGGCAAAACCAUUUAACACAAGUGAGAUCUGGGAAGCAGGCUUGGCCAUCUGUGGGAGACCAAAGUCAAGUGGAGAUGAGGAUGGCUG